UCUUCUUUUCUUUUUUUUUUUUUUAUGUGAUAACAUGAACAUGAUAAAGAAACUGCAAGUCAUGCAUAUGCCAUAUAUCCAUGAAUGCUCAGCCAAAAAAUUAAGCAUCAUUACCAUAUGAUACAUGACAGAAGAAGCCAUCUAUUAAUUCCUUCUUUUUGGUGGUUCAUUAUAUGAACAUGAUAACUCAUGCAUAUGCCAGAUGUCCACAAAUUCUCAGCCAUAAAUAAGCAUCAUUGAAGACAUCAAUAAUCAGAUUGAAGCAUGCAUUUCUAUAGCAUAAGUUCUUAAGGAAACGCAAAACUUACCUUGCCCUCAUCAG
This 322-nucleotide unclassified non-coding RNA is filed under the name Hevea brasiliensis (rubber tree). Lineage: Eukaryota; Viridiplantae; Streptophyta; Magnoliopsida; Malpighiales; Euphorbiaceae. The record is from RNAcentral.